Molecule: transfer RNA, 70 nt
Filed under: Dipodomys ordii (Ord's kangaroo rat)
Lineage: Eukaryota; Metazoa; Chordata; Mammalia; Rodentia; Heteromyidae
Rfam family: tRNA
About the family: Transfer RNA (tRNA) molecules are approximately 80 nucleotides in length. Their secondary structure includes four short double-helical elements and three loops (D, anti-codon, and T loops).
Source: Rfam by way of RNAcentral
GGGAAUGUGGCUUAGUGGUAGAGUGCUUGUCUUGCAUGUAUGAGGCCCUGGGUUCGAUUCCUCAGCACCA